UAUCGCCCCCCCUCACACAUUUUUACGCUACUACCGUAUUGGUCCGAAUAUAAGACGGCCUUUUUUCCCCUCGAAAUAGGUCUGAAAAAGUUGGGUUGUCUUAUAUUCGGGGUCUAGUAUUCAGAGCGCAGUUUCUCUUCUUCGCCUCUCCCUUUAAAUGUCAAUACACAUUCGCGGCCGCAGGUUGCGCCAGAAAUUGGUUCCGGGAAGAAGUAGUCCAGCGUCCUUAACCAGACCAGACAAGUGGCUCAAAAGUGGGUCAGGUCAAUCAACAACAGCGGAGGAGCUAUGAUGCCAAUUUUUAAAUAAUGGUCGUCAAUAAGGCAGAGUCAAGUAACAACUGCCAAGCUGCCAAGAAGUUUGGGGUCACGGAGUGUAACGUAAGAAGAUGGCGAGCACCAAAAUAACGUCUCAAAGACGUCAACAGUCCUACCGUGGUCCUCAAAGUGGCCAUUUCAGUGAGGUUGACCGGAGAGUUUUUGAAUACGUCAGAGAAAACGCGCUUUGGGCGGAGCCGGUGGAAGCGGAGCAGCUGGGGAGCGAUGACAGCGAGAGCAAACACAGUGGGGCAGAGGACGUGUGUGAGCGAUAGAGAGAGAUCGGAGGAGAAGUUUGGCGAAUUUUAGUUAAGUUUAGUUAAAUAUGUGGCCUGUAUUUUUCUAUGUUAUUUAAAAAUGUUCCCAAUGUUGCUUGAUUAUUGCUUGUUAUUAAUUUUGAAUCAUACUGUACAUAUUUUGCCUUGAAAGUGCCGUGGCCUUUACUGGCAUUAUUAUUAUAUUAUGUUUGUGUUGAAAAACGGGGGGUCGUCUUAUAAUCAGGGUCAUCUUAUAUUCGGACCAAUACGGUAUUUAUUCAGGAAGCAACUUCCAUUGACUUCAGAUACAAGAGAUUGAGGAGAAUGUAUAGGGGGCAGGCCUCUUACAGAAUGACUCCUACAGGCCAGGCGGAGCUACCAACAUCUGGGAUCAAACCCAGUAUCUUUCGCUGGGGAAUUUACCAUAGCUACUACACUAAAAUGUCCUGCUGCAUUCGCAGGCAGGCAUGCAAACAAACAAGUGCGUACACCACAUACAAAAGCACACACAGAAGCAUGCAGUCUUCAUGGUUUCAAUUUGUAGCUCAGUUUCACUCUGAAACUGACAGUUUACUCGCACACCCAACCUAACCUCUGAUCUAAAUGUUUCAUACGGCCUGUUCACGGUUUCCUGUUUUUAAAAGGGAAACAGAUGGGCUAUUUCCAAAUGACCCUCUGUCAGCUGCGGGUUUGGUAAUAUAUGUUGGAGCAUGUAAUGAAACCUAAAAUUGUUCUACUGAAUAGGUGAUGACAUGAUAAAUACAGUUAUUAUAUAUGCAGUAUUUUAACACAUAGUAUAGUAUAUAGCUUUGUUAAGUGUAGUAUAUGGCUUACUUGACUGAUCAUUUUAACACUGAUAGCAUAAAAGCCACUUUCAAAAAUAUAUUUUGUUGUAUAGCCUUUUCCCAUUCCCAGCAUAUGACAUUCAGAACGCAAGGCCAGUAAAUAAAUAGAUUUUGUCUGGAUAAA
Molecule: long non-coding RNA, 1543 nt
Organism: Gadus macrocephalus (Pacific cod)
Lineage: Eukaryota; Metazoa; Chordata; Actinopteri; Gadiformes; Gadidae
Exons: 2
Source: RefSeq, a predicted model, not a curated record